This is a long non-coding RNA of Falco peregrinus (peregrine falcon), 1773 nucleotides long. RefSeq lists it as uncharacterized. The record is from RefSeq and is a predicted model, not a curated record. The transcript is spliced from 4 exons. NCBI's taxonomy places the organism in Eukaryota, Metazoa, Chordata, Aves, Falconiformes, Falconidae.
GGCUCCCCCGGACGCCCCACGGCUGUGAGCCCCCGCCCCCGGCGCUGAGGGGCCCCCUGGAUGCCCGCAGUGCCCCGCAGCUCCAGGGCCCUGCCCGCGCUCCAUUGCCCCGCGGGCCCCUGCGCGCCCCCAGCCCCGCAAGGGCCCAGUCGGUGCCUCACGGGCCUGGCCACCUCUCUGGGCCCUGGCAGCACCUGCUGCCCGAUAGCCACCGUGCGCCUGGCCUCGGGGGUGACCCUGCCAGGCGGGGCAGGCCCAGCCCGGUGCAGCCGCCCGCCCGCAGCCGCUGCCCACGUUAGCGGGGCACGUUGGGGUUGCAGCCCCCCCCACCGGCUGUGCCAGCCUGCCCAGCGGGACUGCCCGGGCCUGCAGGCCGCAGCAUGGCAGCUGUGCAGGGCGUGCUCAGCAUCGCAGGCGUAAGGGCCGGUGUUUGUGACGGCGGUAUCUUUUCUCUGGCUGGAGACAGAGUCAAGCCUCAGUGGCAGACUGGGGAAAGCCUCACGCUUCAAAGUGCCUGUAAAGGAAGGAGGAGCCCUCCUGCACCGCUGCGACACGCACCCUCACGCGCUGAAACAGCCAGAGCGACGUUUGUGAGCAUAUGACUGACGAACGGUACAGUACGUUCACUUGCUGCCCGGAGACUCGUCAGAGUGGCAAGUUGGAGCUGUAGAAGAUAGAGAUGACUCACGACUGGAGCUUUAUGUAAAUGAGGAACCUCUUCUGUUGCGUCCUGUUGUACCAAUGAGGCCACGUAAAGUUCACACAUCAGCUGUGGCAACCAGUCCUACCUAUUUUAACCCUACUCUUGUUAGUAUUGUGGCUACGGAAUUGAUGGGUGUUUUGGCUUCCAGAGAAGUCUGCAGGAAACUUCCCAGACAGAUGAAUUGAUUCAACUCUUGCUUCUCACUGAGCUUAAAGAAAAAAGAAAGAAGAGCACUGAGGAAAACGAAGUGGCUGCUGGUUGAUGUGACAUAUCCCACCGGUGGACCUGGCUGGCAUGUGAACUGCACUUGCACCAGACAGAGAAGAAAAAAAGGAGAAAAAAAUACCUUGAAUUAUUAAACUGAUCAGAGCCCAAACUGCAAAAUUCAGCCCCUGGCUCAUAUCUCACGUGUUUUUGAAAUUCUGGGUGUUCAAGUGAGGAGUUGUGUUCAAAUAUAACUCCAGUAUAGUGAUCUUAUUUUUGCUUGUUUAAAAGAAGUUCCUUAUGUUAGUUAGCUAUUCAAUUCUAAUCUGUUUUCUCUGAAGUGUGAUUAUGGUUGUGAGUGGCUCAACCAAUUAACUGGGAGGGUGGAGUUAAUUAUUGAUUUACCUGAUUACACAUGACGGCUUUCUGCUCUCAGAGGUGGCCAUGAGAUAUAUAAGAACAUAAAGAAAGCUUUGUGGCAGGUCUUGAGAUGACAUUUGGAUGCUUCUCCCUGCUGUCUGUGGUGCUGUGCUUCUCAGCAUAACUUUGUGGUAAUCAGAUCAGUUUUAAAAUCGGAGAGUGUCUGUGCAUUCCCUUUCUCGCUGCCAGUGCAGCCUCUUACCAGACCCAGGGCUCCCUGGCUGCUGCCCCCACUUGGGGCUCGGCAGGGUCCCGGUCCACAUGAAGCUGUGACCAUCCCACGAUGGGACUGUCCGGCUGCUUGAGCCAUCCAGGGGCUGCCACGCUUGAAGGAAAGUCUCCCCCAGCUUUUACCCACUUCCAUUUUAGUGCUUCCCUCAGCCUGCUGCUUUUAUGGGAUGCCUUCUCCCUUUAUUGCAAGGUUUGUUUUUUUUUAUACCACAGCA